RNAcentral lists this ribosomal RNA (511 nucleotides) under uncultured bacterium. RNAcentral's name for it is "bacterial SSU rRNA". It matches the Rfam family "Bacterial small subunit ribosomal RNA", at positions 15 to 518 of the family's 1533-position model. The record is from RNAcentral.
GAUCUUGGUUCAGGAUGAACGCUAGCUACAGGCUUAACACAUGCAAGUCGAGGGGCAGCAUUGGAGUAGCAAUACUCAGAUGGCGACCGGCGCACGGGUGAGUAACACGUAUCCAACCUGCCGCUUACUCGGGGAUAGCCUUUCGAAAGAAAGAUUAAUACCCGAUGGUAUAAAGAGUUCGCAUGUUCUCUUUAUUAAAGAAUUUCGGUAAGCGAUGGGGAUGCGUUCCAUUAGAUAGUUGGCGGGGUAACGGCCCACCAAGUCUACGAUGGAUAGGGGUUCUGAGAGGAAGGUCCCCCACAUUGGAACUGAGACACGGUCCAAACUCCUACGGGAGGCAGCAGUGAGGAAUAUUGGUCAAUGGACGAGAGUCUGAACCAGCCAAAGUAGCGUGAAGGAUGACUGCCCUAUGGGUUGUAAACUUCUUUUAUAAGGGAAUAAAGUGAGGGACGUGUCCCUUUUUGUAUGUACCUUAUGAAUAAGGAUCGGCUAACUCCGUGCCAGCCGCCGC